This 435-nucleotide ribosomal RNA is filed under the name uncultured bacterium. Its description in RNAcentral is "partial 16S ribosomal RNA". It matches the Rfam family "Bacterial small subunit ribosomal RNA", at positions 355 to 784 of the family's 1533-position model. The record is from RNAcentral.
UGGGGAAUAUUGCACAAUGGGCGCAAGCCUGAUGCAGCCAUGCCGCGUGUGUGAAGAAGGCCUUCGGGUUGUAAAGCACUUUCAGCGAGGAGGAAGGUGGUGAGCUUAAUACGCUCAUCAAUUGACGUUACUCGCAGAAGAAGCACCGGCUAACUCCGUGCCAGCAGCCGCGGUAAUACGGAGGGUGCAAGCGUUAAUCGGAAUUACUGGGCGUAAAGCGCACGCAGGCGGUUUGUUAAGUCAGAUGUGAAAUCCCCGGGCUCAACCUGGGAACUGCAUUUGAAACUGGCAAGCUAGAGUCUCGUAGAGGGGGUAGAAUUCCAGGUGUAGCGGUGAAAUGCGUAGAGAUCUGGAGGAAUACCGGUGGCGAAGGCGGCCCCCUGGANGAAGACUGACGCUCAGGUGCGAAAGCGUGGGGAGCAAACAGAUUAGAUA